Molecule: ribosomal RNA, 255 nt
Filed under: uncultured bacterium
Lineage: Bacteria
Description: partial 16S ribosomal RNA
Rfam family: Bacterial small subunit ribosomal RNA
Source: RNAcentral
UACGUAGGGUGCAAGCGUUUAAUCGGAAUUACUGGGCGUAAAGCGUGCGCAGGCGGUGAUGUAAGACAGAUGUGAAAUCCCCGGGCUCAACCUGGGAACUGCAUUUGUGACUGCAUCGCUGGAGUGCGGCAGAGGGGGGAUGGAAUUCCGCGUGUAGCAGUGAAAUGCGUAGAUAUGCGGAGGAACACCGAUGGCGAAGGCAAUCCCCUGGGCCUGCACUGACGCUCAUGCACGAAAGCGUGGGGAGCAAACAGG